GGGGGGAGGCCGGAUCCUGGGCUGUGUCCCCGCGCUCUGGGCUCCCGAGCCUGCGCUGUUGGAUUCGCGCUCCCGGGCCGCAGCCCCCU
This 89-nucleotide microRNA precursor is filed under the name Canis lupus dingo (dingo). RNAcentral describes it as "mir-8799 microRNA precursor family". It matches the Rfam family "mir-8799 microRNA precursor family". The record is from Rfam by way of RNAcentral. Lineage: Eukaryota; Metazoa; Chordata; Mammalia; Carnivora; Canidae.